Mangifera indica (mango) is the source of this 1440-nucleotide long non-coding RNA. RefSeq lists it as uncharacterized. The transcript has 6 exons. Lineage: Eukaryota; Viridiplantae; Streptophyta; Magnoliopsida; Sapindales; Anacardiaceae. The record is from RefSeq and is a predicted model, not a curated record.
UUUGUGGUUAUACAUUCUGGUUGAGUUUAAAAAAAAUUUCCUACCUAACUGCGUUGCAACACACCGGCCAGAAAGUUUAUUCUCUUCCGUUCUUCAACUUUCAUUCGAUUCUUCCUUCCCCGACCAUGCACAAACACACCUCCACCCAUGAUCGCAUCUUCAAGUUCGACUCCACCAAAGAGAACUUUUUCUGUUCUUAGACUCUUCCUGCCGAUUUAUUGACGACAAAAUUUGUCGCGACCGUGAUGAUAACAGUGAUGACUUCCGCCGACGAUUGACGAGUACUGACAACGGAAGUUUAUCUUUUUCAUGCUUCCACACCCCUCUGAUCCUUUAGUAAAUUGAGCAAAUUUUGCUUUUGCGAUUUUUCACUUUGCUGCUGCUUGUGUUUUAUAGGUCUAUGAAGGGCUAAAUUUGGAUACAGCUAGGAGCUACAUCAACUCAUCAAAGAGUUUGGAGGCAAUAAAAAUUUUGGUUCUUUCGGUACCCCCAUGAUGCAAUGAAACAAGAAACAGGUUAUUGGGCAGUGGGGGGGCAGGAUUCACUGCGAAGGGUUACAAUGUAACUUUUCUGAUCUCUGCUUUGAUUUUCCAUGUAAGCUCUCCCUGUUAUUAUAUAUAUGUAUUUCUUGAGAAAAUAGAGUCUUUGGAAAGUUAAAUUGUCAUCCCAAACUAGCACCCUUAAUUUGAAUUAGGUGGAGAAAGGAAGUUUAAUGCUUUGUGGCUUUCUAAUUUACUUUAUUCUUCUGGGAUGAGGUCUUUGGGAAGAUCUGCAGUUUCUAUGUUCAUUAGUUAUUGUUUCUCCCCAACAAUGAUAGGAGAUGAAAAAAUAGAAUUGGAUACUGCCACGUGAUGCCUUUCCCAAUCAAUGGCAGGUAUGGCUUUUAAAAAGAUCAUUCAAAAAGCAAACUUUUAAAAUCCACACGUUACACUUAUUUGUAUACUGAUAGUUCUUGUCUCUUACAGUUUAUAAAUUAUGCAGCUUUUGUGUGAUGUAUAUUCUCCAAUGAGAUUCUAUUGAGGCUUGCUUUCCAUCUUCUGUUUAAUUUCGUUGCCUAAUAAGAUUUUGGAAAGCCUUUUGUUAACGCCAUCAUAGUUUAAUUUUCAUGGGAGUUAAUUUGUUGAACUUUGGUUGGCCUAAAUAGAUGAGUGACUGAUCAAUGGAGGAAUGCUCCAUUAGGACUACUGCCCCAAGUUUCUUCGACUAGAACACUCCGAGGCUUAAAUGUUGAAAGGUGUUUUGAAUGGCAGAGAUAUGUCCAUAGUUCAUGGGCUAAAACUUACCUAAUUCUCUCAUUAACAAUGGUGGACACUUGUUUGUAUGCAAGAAGUAGAAAUUUCACAUUCUUGUUCGAUGAUUUUGAUGAGCUUCUUUUAUUCUGUUGAACUGUAACAUUUAUUUCAGUUUGAGAAGUAUAUAUUAAUAUUGAAAUUUCAAUCA